This 7007-nucleotide long non-coding RNA is filed under the name Medicago truncatula (barrel medic). RNAcentral's name for it is "long non-coding RNA (MTRU_LNC001675)". The stretch from base 494 to 719 matches the Rfam family "MIR2630 microRNA precursor family". The record is from RNAcentral. Lineage: Eukaryota; Viridiplantae; Streptophyta; Magnoliopsida; Fabales; Fabaceae.
GCUUCUGUGCUUUCAUGAAAAAAAGUGAUCAAAAGGACCAAAUGUUUUGGGAAGAAGAAGAUGUAAUUAAGGAAGCCUUGGUGGAGCACUUUUUUGUGGUUGGUGUUGUGACAUCUCCUUUGCUAAUGGACAUAUUAUACAAUGGUUGUAAAUCAAUAGAUGCUAACAAUGCUACGGCUAAGUUUGUCAGAAUCAAGGAAAAUAGGUUUGAGUUGGUUGGUGAUGUUCCAUCCCUAUUUAAUAGCGUUGUUGGUAUAGAGUAUAAACCUGUAACGGUAAUCACGUUUACUGAAGAGGAUUAUGAAAGAAAUGUCACAAAGUUGGGUUGCAUGAUUGUGGAAAUAUUUGUUCUUGACUAUCUAUUCAGGUAUCAUAUAUGAUUUAUUUAUUGACCUGGGUCUUGUUUCUUUAUAGGCUUAAAUAUGGAAAUGAUCCCUGCAAAUAUCUGACAUUUUGGUUUUAGUCCCUAUAAAAAUAUUUUUUUGGUUUUAGUCCCUGUAAAUAUAGAAUAUUUGGUUUUGGUCCUUGGUAUUUUGCUUUAAUCCUUGUAAAAUCAUUUCAUAUUGAAAUUGGUCCCUAUAAUAUUCAUUUUAGUCCUCAUUUUGAGGGACUAAAAUCAAAUAUUCUACAUAUUAUAAGGACCAAAUCCAAUAUGAAUCAAUUUUACAAGGACUAAAACAAAAUACCAAGGACCAAAACCAAAUUUUUUAUAUAACUAAAACCAAAAAAAUAUUUUUACAGGGACUAAAAUCAAAAUGUCAGAUAUUUGCAGGGACUAUUUUCACAUUAAGCCCUUCUUUAUAUUAAGUAUUUAUAUGAUUGUUUAAUUUAAAAAAUUAGUUAAUAAUAAAAAGUGUGAUACAAUAGUGUUGCUAGGCUUUUGGCUUGAUACCCAGUAGACUGUGCAGGCUGAUCAUAUUCUAAUUAUUUAUUUAAUGGAUGCAGGAAUAAAAUUGAGGUGAACUUUACUCGAAGUGAAACUGAAAAGAAGUCCAAGAAAAAAGGGAAAAAAAAGGAUAAAUGUGUAGAAGAGAAUAAGCAAAAUGAUGAGUUGAUUGCAGCAGAUUUGGAAAUGGAUAGUGUGAGAGCUUUGCUUAAUUAUUUGUUUAUGAGUGCCCUAAAAAAGCAUGAGUUUAUUGCUACUUCUUUGAAAGAGAAAACUGAUGAAUUCGUUGUGAAACACCAAGCGUUGUAUGUUAAAUGCGCAUUGAAAAAAGCGGUCACUGAAUUGUACGUCGAAAGCACAAGAAACGGUUGUUGCUUUGUAUGUGGAGGCAGAGGAAGAAAGUGGUAAGCAUCUCUUUAAACAUAGCAAGAAGAUUUCCUAAAUAUACUCGUACUUAUUUUCCACUCUCUCUCAAAUCUCAGUGUGCAGCUCUAGAAUAAUAUUUCGUAAUGAAAUUCGGGAUCUUUUGAAAUCCCAUGACAUUGUUGAAGAUUAUAAUGAUGCGUCAAAACUAUAUAUUAAAGAGUUGUUGACACUAAAGCCGAUUUCUGGAUGUAACGUUUCUUCUGUCAUUAAACUUGGAGAGUAUAAAUGGUAUGCAACUUUCUUAAUUUUCUAUUUUAUAUAUUGAAGAGUGAAUAAUUGUAAAGAUAUAAGUAAAGAUUGAUAUGCCAAUGCAGGACUUUCAUAGCUCAUUGGUUCAGAACCUCGUUCCGAUUUGAGUUAUUUGCUGACAGAGACAACAUUCCAAGGUUGAAAUUUUAUGCACUGAGCACAGUAGCGAUAAUUCACCCCCGUAACUACCGGCUAACUGAUUGUUCAGGUAGGUUUUCAAACGAAGUUAUUAUUAUUAAAAAAAAAAAAAAGAAUUACUAAUACUAACUAUUUCAUUUGAGUUUAUUCAGAUCGAUUCCACUCAGUUUGUAAGACUCGCCCGCGAUAUGUAUUUCAUCUUGAGCGUGCCUAUGAAAAAGGUUUUCUUCACGCUGAGGGUAAUGUUCAAGUAGAAUUGCAGAUUCAGAUGUUUGGGUAAGUCGUUAUGUAUGCAUUAGAAAUCUCAAUCUCAUUCUACUAUUGUUGGUCAAUAUACUCAUAGAAUUUUUACCGUAUUACUGAGUAUAUUGACCAAUAACAAGCAUUGGGUGUCACUGAAUUCCAUGCAACUCAUUGUAUGAUUGUUUUUAAUGCGCAGAGAAAAUUUCUUCCCGCCUCUCCUUGUAAAGAAGUAUCGAACUGAGCUUUUUUUGACGCGUAUGCAUAUUGUGCACAAAAUUUUUUCUAGAUUUAUUGAGAACACAAAAGAAAAUUUGAAGAGCCUGAUUCAAGAUAAUGAUAAGUGGUCAAGGUAUUUUUUACUUUUUUUCUACGAGCAAGUUGAAAAUGAUAUUUUAUUUAUUAUUAUGGAAUUGACAAAAGAGUCACAAACUUACGUGAUAUUGUUAAUUUAAUGUAUGUAUAUAGUUUAGCAUUUAAAUUUUACUAAUAUAUAGUGGAAUGACUAACAAUCUCGUCAUUAGUCGCAUGUAAGCGAAAAACAAUAAAUAUUAUGAACUUAUGUUAUUGUAUGUUUAGCAUUUCUUAGUUAAUAUGAUUUUUUUUUUGAAGGAAUGUCUUAGCUAAUUAGAUAUAAGUUGGGAAUCUAGUGUGGCGUAUGUGUCGGGGCUGUCUUCCGACUCGUGUUCGUCUUUUUAACAAGGGCGUUCAAUAUCCUACAAACUGUGUUAGUUGUCCAUCACAUCAUGAAGAUCUUCCUCAUGUAUUUUUCAAUUGCCCUUUUGCUGUCCAAGUUUGGCAAAUGACAGGCCUUUGGGGAGCUAUCCAACACACUUUGUCUUCUACUACUUCGGCAACUGUUACUAUUUUUCUUUUGUUGGAAACUUUGUCUGUUGAAUUUAAUCAACGAUUGACAUCAACGUUUUGGAGUAUUUGGAAGCACCGAAAUCUUCGAGUUUGGGAUAUGUCACGGAGGUAACCGCCACAGUUGUUGAGCGAGCUAAGAAUUUGGUCGUUGAUUUGGCAGUUUGCUAAUGUUUCCACCGUAGCUGAUCCUAUUCCCCAACAACAACUGCAGCCAUCCAUUGGAGGGGGAAAUUCGACCGCAGUUGGCACCUCGACAUCUGUGACACCGUCUAGUUGGCAGCACCCUUUGCCGGGAACGUAUAAGUGUAAUAUUGAUGCUGCGUUUUCCUCUCAUUAUAACCGUACUGGUGUGGGUAUCUGUGUUCGGGAUUCAGAAGGUACAUUUAUCUUGGCUAAGGUUGUUAGUUACCCAUGUUUUUAUUCUGUGGAUGUUGGUGAAGCGUUGGGUCUUCAUUCCGCCUUAUAGUGGCUAAGUGACAUGCAAUUUGACAACGUCGGUUUUGAAACGGAUUCCAAGCUUACUUGUGAUGCAUUCCAUGCUAAUCAAGGCGACACUUCUGAAUUUGGGUGCAUUAUCUCAUCAUGUCGGUCUUUGUUCAGUUCUUUGUUUACCAACUCUAGGGUGGAGUUUGUUAGGCGACAAGCAAACGGGGUUGCUCAUGUUCUUGCAAGAGAAGUCACGUUACUAGCUAGUCCCAUUGUUUAUUUUCAUAUACCCGAUUGUAUUGAAUCUCUUAUUAUUAAUGAAAUGCUAUAAGCAUAUUUCCUUCAAAAAAAGAUAUAAGUUGGGAAGGGACGAAUUAUUUUAGGAUUGGGUUUCAAAGGCAUAUCCCAACAACUUUGUCACCCAUCUUUUGCUGUUCACCAUUCAACAAUCUCUUUACCUGCAAAUACUUUAGACUUUUAUGGUCGGUGCGUAUGAUAAAAAUAGCUCCCCAACAAGCAAAGCCUUCACUCUUUAGUACUUCCAGGACAAUCGCCAUCAAUUCCCUCUCAUACACAGGUUUAAUCUGCCUCUGUCUGACAGUGCUUGGCUAAAGAAGGCCAACGAUUUUCCCUGUUGCAUCAGCACUGCACCCAAUACGAUUCCUGAUGUGUCAGUUUCUAUCUCAAUGGGCUUGUUAAAAUUAGGCGUAGUUAAUGAUGGUAAUUCGUCCAUCUUCUUUUUCAAAGUCUCGUAAUCCUACCCAAGAGCGCUUAGAUGAGAUGGCAUGGGUCUCUUCUUGCUUAACCAAGGUCCUGGGUUCGAAUCCAUCCUUGGGCGUGCAGCAGCGUUAAAACUCUUAAGGGAGAGUUUGCCGUCCAUUUGGGUCUCACAAGGCUCGAGAGAUUAGUCUCCACAGUUGCACAUGCAGAAGAUACCCGGUUUAAAAAAAAAAAAAAAAAAAAGCCUCGUAAUCGUUGAGAGCUUCCUCACUCCAUUUGAAGCAGUCUUUCUAUAAUACCCGGUUAAACUGAGAAACCCACAUAACUCUUUAGGAUCUUUGGGACAAGGUCACUCUUGCAUUACUUUAAUUUUCACAGGAUCAACAUAGAUUACUUCAAAUCUCAUUAUUCACACUUCUUUGGUUUUGAACACAUCAUUUACUAUCAGAAGAUGAGCUUGAGAUAAUCACAGAAGAGCAAAAUAAAUUAUCUUAGGAAAGGCUUAAAAAUAUCAUUCAUCAAUGCUUGAAACGUGGUCGGGGCAUUUGUUAACCCAAAGGGCAUUACGAGAUAUUCAUAAUGGCCUUCAUGAGUUCAAAAUUCAGUUUUAUGAGAAAUGAAAUUUUGGAACCCAUGUUUUGUAAUCUAAUAUGAUUUUUCAAUAUUUGCAGAUUCUGUGCUUUCAUGAAAAAAAGUGACCAAAAGGACCAAAUGUUUUGGGAAGAAGAUGUAAUUAAGGAAGCCUUGGUGGAGCACUUUUUUCUAGAUGGUGUUGUGACAUCUCCUUUGCUAAUGGACAUAUNUUGAACCUUUGCAUAGUGAGUAGUAUUCCGAUUAACAAGAGUUGCUUACAGCAUUGAACUCUAUCUCAGACAUAGGACCCACACACAACCUUUUCUUAGGUGUUUUCUAAAAGCCCGUGCGUUAAUGGCCUUGCACGUCUAUCCCAGUUUUAACUAAUGCUCUAGUAAUUCUGCCUCGUAAUUCCAUAAGAAUCUGCCUCAGUUCUUCAUACGUAUAGGUGAGUCUAUCAGAAUUACUCCUGUAGCUAUGUACUUCACUCCAUAAGGAGUAUAGAUCUCAUUAAGAGUUACUAUUAUCUCAACAUUCAGUCACUGUAGGAUCAUGUGUUCUCAUAGCAUGUUCUAUCACUUGUGAUUUGUUAUUACCCAUUGAACCUAGUUCUUGGGAUCUCCAGUCAUUUAGGUCGGGUUUCCAUCACUUAUGAUCAAUAGGCAUUAGUCCCAUCCUACUGGAUGUAUUUGUGACUUUCUCUCUGUUUAGUCCUUUCGUCAAAGGAUCAGCUAAGUUUUCAUUUGUUCGUACGAAAUCUACUCUUACCUUUCCGUUCGAAAGAUAUUCUCUUAUCGUGCUGUGUUUUCGUCUUAUCUGUCGUCUCUUACCAUUGUAAUAACGAUUCUCAUAUUCAGUUUGUUAGUACAAUCAGUGGCAUAUCUGAGACUGCCAAUGAUGCUCGCAUAUUCAGUUUGUCUAACACUAUCUCCAGUGUUCUUAAAUAGCUUCACACUUGGGUCACAAGGUGUGCUCGCAGGUUUACAAUUUAAGUAAUUAUAUUUCCUUAAGAUCUUCUCAACGUAGUGAGAUUGAUUCAAAGAAAUUCCAUUAUCAAUUCUAGUAAUCUUGAUUCCAAGAAUUACAUCUACUUCUCCAAGGUCUUUCAUAUCAAAGUUGUGGCACAACAAUGAUUUCACAUCUUUAAUGGCAUUGAGGUUUGAACCAAAUAUGAGUAUGUCGUCUACGUAUAGACAUAUGAUCGUGCAAGUGUUAUUUUCGUACUUGGGAUAAAUACACUUGUCGCUUUCAUUCACCUGAAACUCAUUCUCAAUCAUAAGAUUGUCGAACUUCUCAUGCCAUUGUUUCGGUGCUUGUUUUAGACCAUACAAAGAUUUGUCUAACUUACAAACUUUGUUCUCUUGUCCAUGGAUUACGAAACCUUCAGGUUGGUCCAUGUAGAUUUCUUCUUCUAAUUCACCGUUUAAAAAGGCAGUUUUUACAUCCAUUUGGUGUACUAUNNNNNNNNNNNNNNNNNNNNNNNNNNNNNNNNNNNNNNNNNNNNNNNNNNNNNNNNNNNNNNNNNNNNNNNNNNNNNNNNNNNNNNNNNNNNNNNNNNNNNNNNNNNNNNNNNNNNNNNNNNNNNNNNNNNNNNNNNNNNNNAAAAAAAAAAAAAAAAAAAAGCCUCGUAAUCGUUGAGAGCUUCCUCACUCCAUUUGAAGCAGUCUUUCUAUAAUACCCGGUUAAACUGAGAAACCCACAUAACUCUUUAGGAUCUUUGGGACAAGGUCACUCUUGCAUUACUUUAAUUUUCACAGGAUCAACAUAGAUUACUUCAAAUCUCAUUAUUCACACUUCUUUGGUUUUGAACACAUCAUUUACUAUCAGAAGAUGAGCUUGAGAUAAUCACAGAAGAGCAAAAUAAAUUAUCUUAGGAAAGGCUUAAAAAUAUCAUUCAUCAAUGCUUGAAACGUGGUCGGGGCAUUUGUUAACCCAAAGGGCAUUACGAGAUAUUCAUAAUGGCCUUCAUGAGUUCAAAAUUCAGUUUUAUGAGAAAUGAAAUUUUGGAACCCAUGUUUUGUAAUCUAAUAUGAUUUUUCAAUAUUUGCAGAUUCUGUGCUUUCAUGAAAAAAAGUGACCAAAAGGACCAAAUGUUUUGGGAAGAAGAUGUAAUUAAGGAAGCCUUGGUGGAGCACUUUUUUCUAGAUGGUGUUGUGACAUCUCCUUUGCUAAUGGACAUAUACAAUGGUUGUAAAUCAAUAGAUGCUAACAAUGCUACGGCUAAGUUUGUCAGAAUCAAGGAAAAUAGGUUUGAGUUGGUUGGUGAUGUUCCAUCCCUAUUUAAUAGCGUUGUUGGUAUAGAGUAUAAACCUAUAAUGGUAAUUACACCUACUGAAGAGGAUUAUGAAAAUUAUGUCACAAAGUUGGGUUGCAUGAUUGUGGAAAUAUUUGUUCUUGACUAUGUAUUCAGGUACGUAUACAUCAUCCGGUCACUAAUAUAAGCAAAAAUCUAUUUUUUAGAUACAUUCAAUUAAUGAUGUAU